UACGUAGGGUGCAAGCGUUGUCCGGAAUUACUGGGCGUAAAGAGUACGUAGGUGGUUUGCCAAGUCCGAUGUGAAAUCUCCUGGCUUAACUGGGAGGGUGCGUUAGAUACUGGCAGGCUUGAGUGUGGGAGAGGAGAGCGGAAUUCCUGGUGUAGCGGUGAAAUGCGUAGAUAUCAGGAGGAACGCCUGUGGUGUAGACGGCUCUCUGGACCAUUACUGACACUGAGGUACGAAAGCGUGGGUAGCAAACAGG
RNAcentral lists this ribosomal RNA (253 nucleotides) under uncultured bacterium. Its description in RNAcentral is "partial 16S ribosomal RNA". It matches the Rfam family "Bacterial small subunit ribosomal RNA", at positions 524 to 776 of the family's 1533-position model. The record is from RNAcentral.